UGUGUCCAAAAGCGAGGGUCGAAAUUCCUCUGAUGCAACAGAGAGGGAAUAGCCUUGGCUUUGGCCCCUCAGCCGAAGAUGGUGCGAUAACACUGGUUUCUUUUCUGGAAAUAGAAGUCUAACUGAAGCACUGGUUUCUUUUCUUUUAUAUGGAGGGUAAUAGGUAAAAAAGAAAGGCCUGACACUUGCUAUGUUCAGGUGGACAUGUCAACCACGCAUAUAUAACAUUAAGUAAAGCUUCACUGCAAACGUGAGAGUCUGUAGUAUAGAGUUCAGUAAUGAUCCGAACAAGCUAGACAGAAUGAAAUCUGGUACAUAGAACUGACCACAGUGGCAUACACUGACAAAAAGGAAAACCAUCAUCCGAGACAGCUGCAGACCCAGCAUUAUGCAACCGUUGCCCCUAUUAUCACCAUAGGUGCAAUCCUCAAUCACCAUCCCCACCCCAUCGAGCCGCCUCCACCCUCAGCCACUCGACUCAAACAUCACUACAGCUCUUCACCACCACGACAACCACACCAAACGCUGGGUCAGCCGUUGCCUCAGGUAUGCGCAUACCAAUAAUCCCGUCGAGCACCGGUGCCCCCACAUAACCCUAACCCUAACCAGCAAAGGGUGUGGUGGGUGCGUACAUAGCGCGGUAGGCGAGGGGGGGACUUGUUUUUCUUGCCGAAUCGGCACGUAUCGCCGAGUCGACGCGAGUCGAGCGUCUUCAUCUUGCAUUCUCGCUGAGUUGCACGCCACCAAAUAAAGGGAAGGAGAUUGGACGAGGAUAUGCGAGCUUACCCCUGCUAGAAGAUGGUAGGGGAGGAGGAGCACACCUUGGUCCAUUGGCCGCCUCCGUGCGGAGGAGGGGAAGCAGACUCGCUGCGUCGAGGAGGAAGGGAGGGGGGAUCUGGUCGGACGGCGCGCGCCUAGAGAUAUAUGAUGGAAUUGGGCUAGUUGUCGGGCCCAAUAAUGCUAAUAGUAGGUCGGUGUGCAAU
Molecule: long non-coding RNA, 983 nt
Filed under: Setaria viridis
Lineage: Eukaryota; Viridiplantae; Streptophyta; Magnoliopsida; Poales; Poaceae
Description: long non-coding RNA (SVIR_LNC006100)
Source: RNAcentral